GCCGCCUUAGCUCAGUCGGCCAGAGCAACGCACUCGUAAUGCGUAGGUCGUCGGUUCGAUUCCGACAGGCGGCU
RNAcentral lists this transfer RNA (74 nucleotides) under Actinomycetospora cinnamomea. It matches the Rfam family "tRNA". From Rfam's summary of the family: Transfer RNA (tRNA) molecules are approximately 80 nucleotides in length. Their secondary structure includes four short double-helical elements and three loops (D, anti-codon, and T loops). Further hydrogen bonds mediate the characteristic L-shaped molecular structure. tRNAs have two regions of fundamental functional importance: the anti-codon, which is responsible for specific mRNA codon recognition, and the 3' end, to which the tRNAs corresponding amino acid is attached (by aminoacyl-tRNA synthetases). tRNAs cope with the degeneracy of the genetic code in two manners: having more than one tRNA (with a specific anti-codon) for a particular amino acid; and 'wobble' base-pairing, i.e. permitting non-standard base-pairing at the 3rd anti-codon position. RNAcentral also lists the same sequence under 4 other names. Lineage: Bacteria; Bacillati; Actinomycetota; Actinomycetes; Pseudonocardiales; Pseudonocardiaceae. The record is from Rfam by way of RNAcentral.